AAUAUGGGACAAUGGGGGCAGCCCUGAUCCAGCCAGGCCGCGUGGGUGAAGAAGGUCUUCGGAUUGUAAAGCACUUUAAGUUGAGAGGAAGUGCUUUGGGUUAAUACGCUGAAUUUUUGACGUUACCAACAGAAUAAGCACCGGCUAACUCUGUGCCAGCAGCCGCGGUAAUACAGAGGGUGCAAGCGUUAAUCGGAAUUACUGGGCGUAAAGCGCGCGUAGGUGGUUCAGUAAGAUGGGUGUGAAAUCCCCGGGCUUAACCUGGGAACUGCUUUCAUAACUGCUGAGCUAGAGUACGGUAGAGGGUAGUGGAAUUUCCUGUGUAGCGGUGAAAUGCGUAGAUAUAGGAAGGAACACCAGUGGCGAAGGCGACUACCUGGACUGAUACUGACACUGAGGUGCGAAAGCGUGGGGAGCAAACA
RNAcentral lists this ribosomal RNA (422 nucleotides) under uncultured bacterium. Its description in RNAcentral is "partial 16S ribosomal RNA". It matches the Rfam family "Bacterial small subunit ribosomal RNA", at positions 360 to 774 of the family's 1533-position model. The record is from RNAcentral.